This is a long non-coding RNA of Antechinus flavipes (yellow-footed antechinus), 1581 nucleotides long. RefSeq lists it as uncharacterized. Lineage: Eukaryota; Metazoa; Chordata; Mammalia; Dasyuromorphia; Dasyuridae. The record is from RefSeq and is a predicted model, not a curated record. The transcript has 2 exons.
GAUGAAAAAGGGACAAAGUACCAGGUUGAGCCAGUUUUAGAAGCUGAUUUAUGAAGGUGGCAAGAGACUUGGAAAUCUAGUCUUGAGGGGAUGCUCUUUUCAUAAUCCCUUCUGGAAACUAGGAAGCAGUAUGGUCUGGUGCAAAAAAGAUAGGAGAUUUCUUCUACUCCAUGCAUUUCUUAAGUAUGUACUCUUUCUUAUAACCACCUCAUGAGAAGUAGUAGUACAAGGAAUAUCCCAAUUUAUAGGAAAAGAAACAAGACCUGUAUCAAGGGUGGUCAUGUAUUUAUGAGGGCUCUCUCCUGACGUUUUUCCCACUCUGUUCUGCCUUAUUUAGGUCAUGACUGAGUUAGUUUCAACCUUUGUUUUCUCGCAAAAUUAAGAAGCUAUAUUGCAAGUGGUAUGAUGUUUACAAAGCACUUUACAAAAACCUGAGUAUCUGAUUUAGAGAUGAGGGAUUUAAUUUCACAAACUUUGAAGUGAUUAUGUACAAGGUAUUGGAAACAUGAAACUUGGAAAGGUCAAGUAACUUGCCCCAGUCACAAAUCUGGGAAUGGGCAGAUCUUGACUCAUUAAGAUCUCCAAAAUUUUGAUUUUUUUACUCUUUCUCUUAUGUUUCCAGAAGAGAAAAUGACUAGAACUCAUCCUGUGACAGGAUGACGCCUGAAGAAAAGGGCUGUCAUUCCAUUUUAUUUUUCUUGCCCCAGUGUCCAGUGCCUAACAUGGUGUUUAGCAGAUAUUAAGUGCUUAGUUUCUUCUUCAGUAGUUUAAGAUACCCAUUUCUAAGCUGCUUAUGAUGACCCCCACAGAGAAAACUGGAGGAAAAGAAGAAAACUUGGCACAGGAAGAGCUAUGCUGUCAGUCUGCAUUAUGGAUCCCGGGGCCAGAAUGAGGGCAAGUGUCUGCCCUGGUCAGGGCUCACCUGGAAUUCAUUUCUGGAAGGUAGGUUUUAGGAACAAUAAAGAUAAGUAAAGAAACUUUGAAUAGGACUACAUGAGAGUCAAUUGAAAGAAUUGGAGAAAUUUAUCCUGGGAAAGACUGGUAGGGGAACAGGUAAAAAAAAAAAAAAAAAAAAGAAUUAGAUGUGAGCCCAGAAAGUAGAACUAGACCCAUUGUGGGGAGUAUGGUGGAAAGGACAAUAGGUUUUCAAUUGGACCCUUCAGAAUCCCAUCCUUGCUAGAGCUAGUUCUCUGACUUUUGACAAGUCAGCUUUAUUCCUUUUGGGCUUCAGUUUCUUCAUCUAAAAAUUUGGACUAGAUUAUUUAGAGAGUUUUUAAGCUAAAAAAAGAUGAAACCAUGACACAAAAUUAAAGGCAGGCAAUUUCAGCUAAACUCACAAACAGACUAGAUUCAUAAAACACCAUAACUACUCUAACCUUAUCACUGUACGUUUCUUCCACUUCUGAAUGCUAUGAAUUUGUGGCCCAUUAAGAGUAACUCAUUUUCAGCUAAUAGCUUAUUUGAGAGACUAUCUCAUCCAAUUUUUUUCUUAAUUUUUUAACAGGAGAAAACUCAAGACACUCAGACCCAGAAAGGGAAGGGACUUAUUCAAAGUCACAAUUAAAGGAACUAGGAACCAGA